This is a long non-coding RNA of Helianthus annuus (common sunflower), 1458 nucleotides long. RefSeq lists it as uncharacterized. The transcript has 4 exons. The record is from RefSeq and is a predicted model, not a curated record. Lineage: Eukaryota; Viridiplantae; Streptophyta; Magnoliopsida; Asterales; Asteraceae.
UUUAUUAUCCGCUUUGGGCUUUCAAAAAACUUGAGCCAACCCUGGUCGUGUUCAUGUUCAUGACAACCGGUGAGUAUUCCUGUCAUGUUUGGUUCAUAUGUCGGACAGAUUUCAAGUUUGUCUCGUGUUCGGGUUCGUGUCAAAUUUUUGUGUUCAUGUCGGGUUAGACCCACCAACCACCGAAUACAACCCGUUUAACACCUCUACCUUUGUGUCGGUAACAAAAGCAAAUAUGUUGAUGUAGAGCUGAAGCAUGAAAUCUCUACUAUAAUAAAGUAAAAAUUCUUGAUCCUAGCUGUCAAUCAUACAAGCCCCCACCUUUAUCUUCAUCCUACGUGUCAAACCAGGGAUGCAUAUAUCCUAAACAAGAAGGGUCAAAACUAAGCAGCAAUCUUCCCAGCUUGAUUGAAUCUUUAUGAAGUAAAAUUAGAGCUCAAUUGGCUUCCAAAAUAUUCAAAUUUUGAAUCCCAUCAAUUUCUUCAAACAAGCAAAUGGUGAGAUCGCUUUUAGGGUUUCUUGCUUCAUCUCCUCUUUCCCAUUGCCAUUUCCUUUUUCCCAUUGCCGAUAUGCUUAUCCUUAUCUUUUUACUUCUCUGAAAAUCGAAGCCCUAAUCAAUGUUGUUGCUUCUCCCCUUAUAUUUUACUUCCUCCCCACAUUACUGGACUCACAGCUUAGUUAAUUCUUGAAAACUCUAUCAGCAACGGGAUCCUGUAAGUGGAAGAUUCGGGUCGUCGGAGAAAGCAUACGGGAUCCAUGGCGGUUCAUCGCCUCAACAUUGAUUCAAAGAUCAAGAUCGAUUAUAUUUUGAAGAGGAAAUUCAAUCUUCUGCACAUAAUCUACAAUCUUGGUACCUUCAUGUUUCUUAUCUUUUGUUUAUUUUCCUAUUUUUAUUAUUGUUUUUGAAUGUUUUGAAUGACUGAGAUCGUGAAUUAGGGCUGAGAUUUGUGGUUGUUGCCUUUCCUUAUGCUAUUUUUCUGUUCAUCUCUGAUUUGGUUAUUUUGUAGUUCACGACAUUAUCGCAUUUGAUUGUUUCGUUUGUUAAACUUAAAACAAACACAGAUGAAGAUGUGGAUCUUGAAGAUUAAACGAUCUAUGGAAUCAAAUGUGUAAAGGUGAGAGUCCAAAUUAAGAUGCUAAUCCAAGAAGAGGGAUAGCAAUGUGGUUUGGGCAACCAGUGAUGAUGAUACAGAGAUUGAAGUUGUUCGGUGUGAACAAGACAAUGAUCAGAUAGAUGUUAAAAAACAUAAAAGGAUGGUUUCGAACAGAGAUUCUGCUAGGCGGUCAAGAAAAACAAAACAAGCACAUUUAACAUGUCUUGGGCAACAAGUGCCUGCUUAUUAACAAUGUUUAUAUACAUAUAUCCUUAAAUUUAUAGAACUACACCAAAAUAUCUGUUAACCAAACAUGUGUUUCUGGUGGAACUACUGCAAGUAGAGUGUUCAGAUUUGUUCAACAACA